CAAUAGCGUAUAUUAAAGUUGUUGCAGUUAAAAAGCUCGUAGUUGGAUUUCUGGUAGGAGUGACCGUUCCGAACUUGAUUGUUCGUGUAUUGUGUUUUCUCCAGCCAUCCUUGUGGAGAACUUUUCUUGCAUUAAUUUGUAGGGAUUGGGACCCGCAUCGUUUACUGCGAAAAAAUUAGAGUGUUUAAAGCAGGCAAUCGCUUGAAUACAUUAGCAUGGAAUAAUAAGAUAGGACUUUGGUACUAUUUUGUUGGUUUGCAUACCAAAUUAAUGAUCAACAGGAACAGUUUGAGGAUAUUCGUAUGAACAUGUCAGAGGUGAAAUUCUUGGAUUUUGAUCAGACGAACUACUGCGAAAGCAUUUAUCAAGGAUGUUUUCAUUAA
RNAcentral lists this ribosomal RNA (383 nucleotides) under uncultured eukaryote. RNAcentral's name for it is "partial 18S ribosomal RNA". It matches the Rfam family "Eukaryotic small subunit ribosomal RNA", at positions 592 to 976 of the family's 1831-position model. The record is from RNAcentral.